RNAcentral lists this ribosomal RNA (423 nucleotides) under uncultured bacterium. RNAcentral describes it as "partial 16S ribosomal RNA". It matches the Rfam family "Bacterial small subunit ribosomal RNA", at positions 355 to 769 of the family's 1533-position model. The record is from RNAcentral.
UGGGGAAUAUUGCACAAUGGGCGCAAGCCUGAUGCAGCCAUGCCGCGUGUGUGAAGAAGGCCUUCGGGUUGUAAAGCACUUUCAGCGAGGAGGAAGGUGGUGGACUUAAUACGUUCAUCAAUUGACGUUACUCGCAGAAGAAGCACCGGCUAACUCCGUGCCAGCAGCCGCGGUAAUACGGAGGGUGCAAGCGUUAAUCGGAAUUACUGGGCGUAAAGCGCACGCAGGCGGUUUGUUAAGUCAGAUGUGAAAUCCCCGGGCUCAACCUGGGAACUGCAUUUGAAACUGGCAAGCUAGAGUCUCGUAGAGGGGGGUAGAAUUCCAGGUGUAGCGGUGAAAUGCGUAGAGAUCUGGAGGAAUACCGGUGGCGAAGGCGGCCCCCCUGGACGAAGACUGACGCUCAGGUGCGAAAGCGUGGGGAGC